CAAAAAUAAGCUGCCUUUUCAACCAAAGCACUUCUUCAUGAACUGUGGGGGCUUCUGAAAGCUCCUGGCAUCCCCUGUGUCCGUGGGGCAGCUCAGAAGUUCUUGCCGUGCUGCUGGGCGUACCACUGCUGCCGCUGCUUGCGGUGCUCCAGCUCUGUGAGCAGGGCCUGCCUGUAGGCCUCGUACAGCUUCACAAUGCGCUCCAGCUCCUUCAUGAAGAGCAGCUUCAGCAUGCCCUGGUACGUGUCCAGGUCUGCCAGCUGGAACAGCUCCCACUUCAGGAUGUGGUCGUACUUGACAGGAGCCCUGGCGUAGACCUGCAGCCAGUCUGGAAUCUCAGCAGUGUGGUAGGGGUUGGCAGGGACAAGGAGGGGCUGGCUUCUCUCUGCCUGCUGGGGCUGGUAGGUCACUGGGGGAGGCUGGUCGUAACGGGGAACGCUGGGAGCACAAGGAUGUUUGUAUUGAGCUCGUUUAUUGAUGUGAUCCACAUAAUACACUCCAAACUCUGCGGACUCCACUCUCUCCCAGCCCGGCGGCAGCCCCUCUCGCUCCAGGGGAUGGCUCCAAUGCGUUGUGUUGGUGUUGUGGUCGAUGUAGUACUUUCUUCCUCUGAUAGUCCAGUCCACCGACCAGCCAGGGGGAAGAGGUAAGUCUUCAGAGCUGUGAUUUGUUAGAUUUCCUAGAGAUGUAGCAGCAACUCUCCCGAUGCCUGACGUGCGCCGCCCAGGGUUGUGAGACAUCCUCUGGAAAAGCUCCCCGCUGUGCUCAUAGUAUCUGUAGUCCUCAUGCAAGCGAUCAUUCAACUGACGUCUCCUCUGGGCAUCAUAGAAGUGAUCAUAAUAGUAACAACGUGUGCCGGCAUCUCCAUUUUCCAUAACCGAGUUGGUUUCUGUUAGAAAGGACUGGGAGGAAGAGCCAUAUUCUCUAGCAACAUCAGCUAAACUUCGAGCGAAGUAGGAAGGUGCAGACAGUCUGUUGCUUUCACGCCUCAUUAUUUCAUGGGGCGGCCUCUGCACUGGUGUUCGAAGGAAACUCUGGUUUCUGGAAACAGCUCCAUCUCCACCGGAGCCAUAAGCAGAAGGACUCGGGUCAGGAGGGCAGAUAUCAGUUCGUCUUGGAAUGGUCGGACCAUGACGGAUAAAGGAAGGCAUUAGAUUGCGGAGCAGCGGGCUGGUCUCCUUCUUCACGUAUUUCCCCUGCACCUCGCCCGGCUUCGAGAGCUCCGUCCGCGUUUUCUUCCGCGACAGCAUCCCACCUCCUCCUCCCGGCCCGCUCCCGCCGCCCGCAUGCCCGGCUCCGCUCCGCACAGGGCCGGACCGCCCGCGGCCCCCUCAGGCGCUCAGGGCGGCGGGCGGAGGCCGUGAGCGGGGGGGCGGGCUGCGGGGCGCGGCCGCGGGGUGCCGUUAGGCGCGGGGCGUUGUGGGGCGGCGGCCCCGCCCGGCGGGGAGAGGAGACGAGAGGAAGGAUGGGGACAGAGCGGCGCGGUAGCGCGGUCACAGCGCCCCCUGGUGGACGGGAGGGCGCGCACGGCCGCGCAUCAUUCCGGCUGGACAAAGCUGCCGAGCUGACCGAGCCCAGCCCGUGCCGCACAUACCGUUCCCAUAAAAGAUGGGGGAAAAAAAAAAAAAAACACCCAAAAAACAACCCCACAGCCACAAGCAGCGAUCUUACAGUGAUUUCUUUUUAUUUCUUACAUUCAUUUAUAAAUAACACGUAGGUUGGUUCCUCCUGCUUUACAUGGCGGUGUAAGGACAGCACAUCACAACAAUAAGAACUCAAUAAGAACAAACACAGCUGCUGCCGUUCACACAGCAGUGGUGGCAUCCCGCACUGCAGGCAGCCGUGGAAGACCUGAGAGAUGGCGAUGCCAUUUGCGUUGUAUCUGACAGAUCCAGGCUGCCCCCAGC
RNAcentral lists this long non-coding RNA (1907 nucleotides) under Gallus gallus (chicken). Lineage: Eukaryota; Metazoa; Chordata; Aves; Galliformes; Phasianidae. The record is from RNAcentral.